Molecule: long non-coding RNA, 1827 nt
Filed under: Vitis vinifera (wine grape)
Lineage: Eukaryota; Viridiplantae; Streptophyta; Magnoliopsida; Vitales; Vitaceae
Description: long non-coding RNA (VVIN_LNC000655)
Source: RNAcentral
UCUACCAAAUUUAAACAUUCUCUCAAGAAAAAGAGCAGUAGAAGAAAAAGUGAUGGUCGAGUCAGCUCCGUAUCAAUUGAGGAUGUUCGGGAUGUUGAAGAACUAGAGGCUGUUGAUGCUUUUCGACAAGCAUUGAUUUUAGAUGAACUGUUACCUACAAAACAUGAUGAUUAUCAUAUGAUGUUAAGGUGCCCAUUCCUUCAACUUUUUAAAUUUUUCACUGCAUGGUGCUACUAUGUUUAGCUCCCCAAAAUAUUGGACUUUGGGACCAUUGAUUUGAUUCCUGUGUUAGGAAUCAAAGGUAAAUUUGGUUGCCUUUGAGGUUUUGUUCAAUGGUAAAUUUAUUCUUGAAACAUUUAUACUAAAGAAACAUUUUUUGAUUUGUAUUCCUGAAUAAAGGGUACGUAGGUUUGAUGGGUUGGGUGGCAUUUGGAACUCAUUUGUGGCUUAUGCUUUUGGGGCGACAUAGUGCUCCUUUUGGGUGUCCUUGUGCCAAAAUUUAGCAUUAUCCUCUGGAUUGUAUAAGUUGAUUGGGUGUAUUCGAGUAGGUCAUUGUUGCAAAUGUCCCACUAUAAGUGCAUGUAUGAUGGCACAAAUAGGGUAGAUUUUGAUGGUGUAUGACGAAUGGGAAGGCUACUUUCUCAAGAAGUGUUAUGUGACACCAUUGCUUGCUUAUACUUGGAUGUUCACCUCUCCUCUCACUUUAACUAAAGUAGCUUGCUUAAUCAUUUUGGAUUGAACAAGUGAAAACUUGACAAAUGGUUAAUUAAGUAAAUUUCUUUUGGUAAGCAUUAAUAAGUUCAUUACAAGGCACCAAUAGAAGGGUCACAACCCAAUUACACAUGAAAGAUGCAUGAACACCUUGAAAGGGAGCUUAAUUAAGUAAUGAACUAAGCUUUCUAUAGGGAUUGCUUUCCUACAAAUCACGAUUAUGUUACCAUACCUUCUUUCCUCAUGUUACUUUCAUGUGGGGUGCAUGUUACCAUGCUUUGCAGCAAGUAGUCUAAUUUGGUUCAACCAUCUCAUUGUUUUAAUUGAUUUCUUUUUCUUGUUCUUUCUGGUGUGAUCAAGUUGACUUGUUUCUAUAGUCGGUAUCAAGAACAUGCUAAAUUGAUUUAUUAUCCAAUUGGACGACAUAUUUAUAGUUUAGCAUGAUAUAAAUAUUUUAUGUUCCAACUAUUUUUUAUUAUAUGGUAUUGCUUCAACUAUGUUUUCAUAAUGAGUAGGUAUAACAUUGUUAAGAGCAUUAUAUUACUUGCAGGUUCUUGAAAGCAAGGAAGUUUGAUAUUGAGAAAGCAAAGCACAUGUGGACUGAUAUGAUUCAGUGGAGGAAGGAUUUUGGUGCUGACACAAUUUUGGAGGUAUCGAUAUCUGAUGAUUUGCCUGAAUUUGGUGAUGGAUUAUUCAAAAUACUUUUGGCAUCUGGCUUUGAGUUAAUAUAUUUUCUAUGCUUUUGUAAAGUUGGCAUCCAAGCAGCUAUUGUAGUUGUUAUUCUAUCAUUAUAUGUUGUUAUUAUCAAAUAUGUAUGUAUGUAUGUGUCUAUCUAUCUAUAUAUGCAUAUAUCCUUUCUUCAAUUUUAUAAGUGCUGUUUUGUACCAAAUUCUUUGACAUGUUUACCUGUUUGAUAUUGUUAUCAGGAUUUUGAGUUCAAAGAGUUGAAUGAGGUGUUGAAAUACUAUCCCCAUGGUCAUCAUGGUGUGGAUAAGGAGGGAAGACCUGUUUACAUUGAAAGACUAGGAAAAGUUGAUCCUUACAAACUUAUGCAAGUUACAACUAUGGAUCGGUAUGUUAAAUACCAUGUGCAGGAGUUCGAGAAAAGCUUUGCCC